GUAAUCUGCAGUCAAUGCAUGAGAGAAGGGAGGGGUGUUUGCAACUAUAGAAGGUAGUCUACAGUUACUCCCUAGGAGAAGGGAGUUUAGGCUGGCAAACCCAGACAAGGGGGAAAGCCUAAAAGACUCAGGAGAAAAGCAGCAAGGAAUAGGAUAGUGCAGCCCUUGGCUGCUGAGGAGAGAAUCUCUCAGUUGGAACCUGGAGUAGAGGGCAGGCCUGAGUUCUCCUACCAGCCACUGGGGAAAUGGCAUAGACCAAGCGGUGGAGAGUGGACUGCCUAGACAACUCAUGGUUUGAUACCCUGGAAGGGAGUAACCUGGUUUGGGGGCUGAAUCGCAAAGAAGAGGCAGUGGCUCCUGGGGCAACAGAGGGGUGAAAGAGACAGAAUGUGGCAGAGGGCAACUGCAGGAAGGGGUGUCAGCUGGCAGAGCUAAUCCCUAGACGUGCCAGGAGGCGGAACCCUCCAGUGACUCUGCCGCCUUCCCCUGCAGAGACCCCAGAUCCAAGGAGCACCAUCCGUAAUAUCCAGGAUGCCUGAGAGAGAAGUAGUGCCAGAAAGAUGCCUGACAUCCCUACCACCUUCGGCACAGGAGGGUAACACCUGAGGACAUGGAAAUAUGGCUUUACACAGAAAAGAAAUAGCCCUCCACCCUCACAAAUAUCCAUGUUCAUAGAUUCAUGGCUUUUAAAGGUAGAAGGGACAAGUAUGCUAACCUAGUCUGAUCUGCUAAA
Long non-coding RNA from Mauremys mutica (yellowpond turtle), 733 nucleotides. RefSeq lists it as uncharacterized. The transcript is spliced from 3 exons. The record is from RefSeq and is a predicted model, not a curated record. NCBI's taxonomy places the organism in Eukaryota, Metazoa, Chordata, Testudines, Geoemydidae.